RNAcentral lists this ribosomal RNA (584 nucleotides) under uncultured bacterium. RNAcentral's name for it is "partial 16S ribosomal RNA". It matches the Rfam family "Bacterial small subunit ribosomal RNA", at positions 356 to 932 of the family's 1533-position model. The record is from RNAcentral.
UGGGGAAUUUGGACAAUGGGCGAAAGCCUGAUCCAGCAAUGCCGCAUGUGUGAAGAAGGCCUUCGGGUUGUAAAGCACUUUUGUCCGGAAAGAAAUCCUUGGCUCUAAUACAGUCGGGGGAUGACGGUACCGGAAGAAUAAGCACCGGCUAACUACGUGCCAGCAGCCGCGGUAAUACGUAGGGUGCAAGCGUUAAUCGGAAUUACUGGGCGUAAAGCGUGCGCAGGCGGUUUGCUAAGACCGAUGUGAAAUCCCCGGGCUCAACCUGGGAACUGCAUUGGGUGACUGGCAGGCUAGAGUAUGGCAGAGGGGGGUAGAAUUCCACGUGUAGCAGUGAAAUGCGUAGAGAUGUGGAGGAAUACCGAUGGCGAAGGCAGCCCCCCUGGGCCAAUACUGACGCUCAUGCACGAAAAGCGUGGGGAGCAAAACAGGAUUAGAUACCCCUGGUAGUCCACGCCCUAAAACGAUGUCAACUAGUUGUUGGGGAUUCAUUUCCUUAGUAACGUAGCUAACGCGUGAAGUUGACCGCCUGGGGAGUACGGUCGCAAGAUUAAAACUCAAAUGAAUUGACGGGGUCAUAGCUG